GGGUUGUGAGGUUAAGCGACUAAGCGUACACGGUGGAUGCCCUGGCAGUCAGAGGCGAUGAAGGGCGUGCUAAUCUGCGAUAAGCGCCGGUAAGGUGAUAUGAACCGUUAUAACCGGCGAUACCCGAAUGGGGAAACCCAGUGUGAUUCGUCACACUAUCAUUAACUGAAUCCAUAGGUUAAUGAGGCGAACCGGGGGAACUGAAACAUCUAAGUACCCCGAGGAAAAGAAAUCAACCGAGAUUCCCCCAGUAGCGGCGAGCGAACGGGGAGGAGCCCAGAGCCUGAAUCAGCAUGUGUGUUAGUGGAAGCGUCUGGAAAGGCGCGCGAUACAGGGUGACAGCCCCGUACACAAAAGCGCAUAUGCUGUGAGCUCGAUGAGUAGGGCGGGACACGUGGUAUCCUGUCUGAAUAUGGGGGGACCAUCCUCCAAGGCUAAAUACUCCUGACUGACCGAUAGUGAACCAGUACCGUGAGGGAAAGGCGAAAAGAACCCCGGCGAGGGGAGUGAAAAAGAACCUGAAACCGUGUACGUACAAGCAGUGGGAGCCCCACCACUAAGCCAGUGGUGAACUCCACAUACGCAUCCUUUGCUGAGGAUACGGUUAACGGAGCGAAAGCGACGUUCAACCUCAAAAGAAGCAGAGGGGGCUUAGUGGUGG
Molecule: ribosomal RNA, 661 nt
Filed under: Salmonella enterica subsp. enterica serovar Infantis
Lineage: Bacteria; Pseudomonadati; Pseudomonadota; Gammaproteobacteria; Enterobacterales; Enterobacteriaceae
Also listed under: 2 other names
Description: partial 23S ribosomal RNA
Rfam family: Bacterial large subunit ribosomal RNA
Source: RNAcentral